UACGUAGGGUGCGAGCGUUAAUCGGAAUUACUGGGCGUAAAGCGUGCGCAGGCGGUUCGCUAAGACCGAUGUGAAAUCCCCGGGCUUAACCUGGGAACUGCAUUGGUGACUGGCGGGCUAGAGUAUGGCAGAGGGGGGUAGAAUUCCACGUGUAGCAGUGAAAUGCGUAGAGAUGUGGAGGAAUACCGAUGGCGAAGGCAGCCCCCCUGGGCCAAUACUGACGCUCAUGCACGAAAGCGUGGGGAGCAAACAGG
RNAcentral lists this ribosomal RNA (254 nucleotides) under uncultured bacterium. RNAcentral describes it as "partial 16S ribosomal RNA". It matches the Rfam family "Bacterial small subunit ribosomal RNA", at positions 524 to 776 of the family's 1533-position model. The record is from RNAcentral.